RNAcentral lists this ribosomal RNA (468 nucleotides) under uncultured bacterium. RNAcentral describes it as "partial 16S ribosomal RNA". It matches the Rfam family "Bacterial small subunit ribosomal RNA", at positions 28 to 507 of the family's 1533-position model. The record is from RNAcentral.
GACGAACGCUGGCGGCGUGCUUAACACAUGCAAGUCGAACGGAAAGGCCCUGCUGUUGUGGGUUGCUCGAGUGGCGACCGGGUGAGUAACACGUGAGUAACCUGCCCUUGCCUUUGGGAUAACUUCAGGAAACUGGGGCUAAUACCGGACAGGAGCUCUUGCUCCAUGGUGGCGGGUGGAAAGAUUCGGCGGUUGGGGACGGACUCCCGGCUUAUCAGCUUGUUGGUGUGGUAGUGGCUUACCAAGGCGUUGACGGGUAGCCGGCCUGAGAGGGUGACAGGCCACAUUGGGACUGAGGUACGGCCCAGACUGCUACGGGAGGCAGCAGUGGGAAAUAUUGCACAAUGGGCGGAAGCCUGAUGGAGCGACGCCGCGUGCGAGAUGACGGCCUUCGGGUUGUAAACCGCUUUCGCCUGUGACGAAGCGUGAGUGACGGUAAUGGGUAAAAAAGCACCGGCUAACUACGUG